Long non-coding RNA from Lynx canadensis (Canada lynx), 106 nucleotides. RefSeq lists it as uncharacterized. Lineage: Eukaryota; Metazoa; Chordata; Mammalia; Carnivora; Felidae. The transcript is spliced from 2 exons. The record is from RefSeq and is a predicted model, not a curated record.
UAUUUUGCUGAGUGAAAUAAAUCGAUCAGAGAAAGACAAAUACAAAUAUAUGAUUUUACUCAUAUGUGGAAUUUAAGAAUCAGAACAGAUGAGCAUAUGGGAGGGG